AUGGCCGCAGCGCUCCUGCUCCGCGGCCUCCGCUCGUCGGCGAGCCGGGCGCGCCCCGCCGUCCCCUCGCCGGCCUCGGCCCCGCCGCCCUUCGCCUCCUCGCUCCUCCACCGCCUCUACUCCUCCGCGGCCGCGUCCGCGGCCAGCCCGCCCGCCUCCGCGCUGGGAGGCGUCACCGACCCGGCCCGCAUCCGCAACGUGGCGGUGAUUGCCCACGUCGACCACGGGAAGACGACGCUGAUGGACCGGCUCCUGCGGCAGUGCGGCGCCGACAUCCCCCACGAGCGCGCCAUGGACAACAUCAGCCUCGAGCGCGAGCGCGGCAUCACCAUCUCCUCCAAGGUCACUUCUGUCUCUUGGAAGGAGAAUGAGCUCAACAUGGUCGAUACCCCUGGCCACGCUGAUUUUGGUGGCGAAGUUGAGCGAGUUGUUGGAAUGGUGGAAGGGGCGGUCUUGGUUGUUGAUGCUGGGGAGGGACCUUUAGCACAAACUAAAUUUGUGCUUUCAAAGGCUUUGAAGUAUGGUUUACGCCCAAUCCUCCUCCUCAACAAGGUUGAUAGGCCUUCAGUUUCUGAAGAAACCUGCAACGAAGUUGAGAGCUUGGUCUUCGAUCUUUUUGCAAAUCUGGGUGCCACAGAAGAACAGCUAGAUUUCCCAGUUCUUUAUGCAUCAGCUAAAGAAGGGUGGGCUUCCUUGAAAUUCACUAAGUGUCCGCCUGAUAGUGAAAAAAACAUGUCUCCUUUGCUUGAUUCAAUUGUACAACAUGUUCGUUCCCCAAAAGCUGACCUUGAGGCUCCGUUUCAAAUGUUGGUUUCCAUGAUGGAGCGUGAUUUUUACCUAGGAAGAAUACUCACUGGGCGUGUAACCUCUGGAGUUAUCCGUGUUGGCGACAAAGUUCAUGGUCUGCGCAUCACGGAUGAAGGGGUUCAGAAGAUUGAGGAUGGAAAGGUUGUCAAGCUCAUGAAAAAGAAAGGCACAAGCAUGGCAGUAAUAGAGGCUGCAGGAGCUGGUGAUAUAAUCUCAAUGGCUGGAUUGUCUGGUCCAGCAAUUGGACACACCGUGGCAAAUCCGGAGGUUUUGACUGCUCUGCCUGCAGUUGAGUUGGACCCUCCCACAAUUUCUAUGACUUUCGGUGUGAAUGAUUCACCACUGGCUGGCCGUGAUGGCACUCAUGUAACUGGAGCGAAAAUUGGGAACCGUUUGAUGGCAGAGGCCGAAACAAACUUGGCAAUUAAUGUUCUUCCUGGACCAUUGUCAGAAUCUUAUGAAGUUCAAGGAAGGGGAGAGCUUCAGUUAGGAAUCUUAAUUGAGAACAUGCGGCGUGAAGGAUUUGAGCUUUCAGUUUCACCCCCAAGAGUGAUGUAUAAAACAGAGCGUGGGGAAAGACUAGAGCCUAUUGAAGAAGUAACUGUCGAGGUGGACGAGGAGCAUAUCGGAUUUGUGUUGGAAACCCUUAACAACAGGAAGGGGGAAUUGUUGGACAUGGGCCCUGUUCCUGGGACAACUGGAAGAACUCGGGUCUUCAUGACCUGUCCAUCUAGGGGUUUGGUGGGUGUUAAAGGAGUUUUCAACAGCUUUACACGUGGAACUGGAUUUAUGCACCGUGCUUUCCAGGCAUAUGCUAAAUACAGAGGUCCACUAGGCACUGUUAGAAAAGGAGUUCUGGUAUCUGUUGGCAGAGGAUUUAUCACUUCACAUGCACUCAUGAGUUUAGAAGCUCGUGGUACUCUUUUUGUCUCUCCUGGGAUGGAGACAUACGAAGGCAUGAUAGUUGGCGAGCAUUCACGUGAUAGUGAUCUUGAGAUCAAUCCUGUGAGAACUAAAGAACUUACAAACAUCCGAGCUCCUGGAAAGGAUGAAAAUAUCCGCCUGUCUCCACCUCGCUUGAUGACUUUGGAAGAGGCAAUUGGAUAUGUUGCUGUAGAUGAGCUUAUUGAGGUUACUCCCAAGGUCAUACGGCUUAGGAAGAAAUAUCUGGACGCCAACAAACGCAAGAUGAUGAAAAACAAAAUCAUGCAGUGA
Molecule: ribosomal RNA, 2022 nt
Filed under: Triticum aestivum (bread wheat)
Lineage: Eukaryota; Viridiplantae; Streptophyta; Magnoliopsida; Poales; Poaceae
Description: partial small subunit ribosomal RNA
Source: RNAcentral